CAUGUUGAAGUCAGCCCCAGAUAUGUGGACCCCACUGAGAGGCAGUGUCAACAGUCAAAUGAUAACAGACCAAUAUCUGCUCCUUGGGCCUGCUGCAUGCACAGCGCCUGGGCAGGAGAAGCCCCUGGCAGGACCACAGCCUAGACAAAAUCCUAGAACUGUCCAGGCCUAGAUGGAUACGAGGACCGACAAGUCUCUCCUCUAGGGCUCACAGUCUAGGCUGGAGGAGCACGGGAGUGUGAAGAGGAUAAGUGUGUCACAGUUUCCUGGUCAGUGAAUACAACAUGCCUCAAAGUGUUUCUUGGUUCUCUUGGUGCCUCUCCAUGCGGUCGUCAACUUGCCAGACUUCUUCUAGAAUGAAGCAUAAUAAACUAUAUGUUGGUGAAUAUUUCUGCUAAUGUAUUAUGUAUGGCUCAUGACUUUUUGCUCUUCUGUGAGACUGAAGCUUUACUUUGAGGGCAAAUGUCCAUAUCUAAAAGAAAUACCAAGGCUGAGUGGAAUCUAUAUCCCUGAGCUUAGCAGGAAAGCCACAUUAAAAAAAAAUUGUACUAGUAGAAACAGAACCAGAUAAUACGAUGAUGAGCAUAAAUAUAUCUGGCUAUAUGCAAACAAGACUUUGCAAACUGGGGAGAAAGAUGGAAAUAAUGCCAAGGAGUAGUAAAAAGGAACAAAGAAGAACAGCUGCGACUGGGUCAGUGAGAAGGUCCAUCUAGGAGAAUUAAAAGUGACGAGGGUAAAAUGAUGAUUAGAGGAAAUAAAGGAAGGACUGGAUGAGGAACAGAGAGAUGUGAGCUAGUGUCUCAGCAACUCACUGUUGGAUUGCUGUAAUUUAACCUUCACUUGCCUCUGCUUCCAGUGUCUUUGAGCUCUUGUCUAGUUAUCUAUCAGUAUGAAACUGAUUUUUAUGAAACCAUCAAUUCCAGCUGCCAACAGGAAUACUUUUGUAGCCAGUGCUUUAAAAAGCCUUAUAAUAGUAAUUCAUUCCUGUAUGGGUAUGAGGGCCCAGGAACUCAUGUCCAGUGAGAGGAAAACAGGCCAUGGGAUAAAUCAAAUACUACUUGACUCAGAAUUAGAUUCACUGCUGAAUUCUGAUUGCUGAGUGUACCAUCUUAUUCUGUAAUAGUUCACAAAUACUGCAUUGAUCCUGAUUUUUAACUGCUCUCUACCUACCAAAUAUGGAAAAGACAUGAGGACAAAUAUUGUAUGAUUCUACUUAUAUGAGGUACCUAGAAUAGUCAAAGCAUAGUAAUAGGAAGUAGAAUAUUGGUUACAAGUGCCUGGGGGAAGGUAGAACAGAGAGUUAUUUUUUUAAUGGGUACAGAGUUUCAGUCUGUGGUGAUGCAGAGUUUUCUGGAGAUGGAUGGUGGUGAUGGUUGCAACAAUACAAAUGUACUUAAUACUACUAAACUGUACACUUAAAAAUGGUUAAAAUGGUAAAUUUUGUUAUCUAUAUUUUGCCACAAUUUAAAAAAAGAGAAAAAUAUCUCCUCAAGAUCCUUAAUGAAGUUGAUAGGAAUGACAGGCAGAAUACACCAAAAAGGGAAAAUGUAAGUCUCUAACAGUCUUGCAAAAAAAGCACAUUAAUAUGGGAAGAUGGUACAGAGAAAUGGUGUUAACUUAUGUUAACUGUUCCCAGUUAUUUCCAAAGGUUCAAGGCCUUUAGAAGAGAGU
Vicugna pacos (alpaca) is the source of this 1671-nucleotide non-coding RNA. The record is from RefSeq and is a predicted model, not a curated record. NCBI's taxonomy places the organism in Eukaryota, Metazoa, Chordata, Mammalia, Artiodactyla, Camelidae.